AUUGUGGAAGCAAUUAGAAAUGAUCAAGGCACUUGUUUUCUUUUGAGCACAACUACAUCCAAAAACAACUUACCUGUGAGCAGAGAGAGUAUUUGUUAACCCCUUUGAGCUUAAACAGUUGAAUCUCGGCUUGAAAUAAAGCGAGAUCUCAAAAAUCUUUUUUUUACAACCCGGAAAAUCUUGAUUAUUGUUCUUUUGCCGUAAAAAGUUAAGAGCAUUCACUUAGGGUGAGUAAGAAAUAAGUUGGGGAGAACGAAAAAGAAUCGGUAAGUACCACAACUCUUGAAAAAGAAAAGAAAAACCGAGCAAGCAUAGAAAAAUAUAUGUAUAGAAAAUAUAGAAAAGAAACAUCUGUUUUGUAUAUAUGAUGUGAAAGAAAAGAACAAAAAUAAAAAGAAUGAAAAUGAAUGCUUGCUUGGAAGAAAAAUACUGAAAAAUAAAAAUUGAGUUGUGGAAUAUGUGUUGUGAAGGUUUCAAAUAAGAAACAAAUGAAACAAAGUCGAGUAGUGUGAAUAAUACUGUGAAUGUCUCUUUUGCAUCGGCACUUUCGUUUCAAUGGCCUUAGAAAUGACCCUUGUUUGUUAACCUAACCAAGCUUCAACCGAAAAGCCCUUAGUGAUCUUUAUGCUUCCACAGUACCAUUUAUAAUUGUUAGACAUUGUAUGAAUCU
Molecule: long non-coding RNA, 670 nt
Filed under: Lathyrus oleraceus (garden pea)
Lineage: Eukaryota; Viridiplantae; Streptophyta; Magnoliopsida; Fabales; Fabaceae
Description: Pisum sativum (pea) long non-coding RNA (PSAT_LNC039795)
Source: RNAcentral